Molecule: ribosomal RNA, 1588 nt
Filed under: metagenome
Description: bacterial LSU rRNA
Rfam family: Bacterial large subunit ribosomal RNA
Source: RNAcentral
UGGUUGAUAUUCCAGUACCACCAUGUUCGCGACCGUUCCAAUACUUUGUUGCUAAGGGGCUGUGUUGACUUCGGUUAACACGAACCGACCCACAUUGUUGCGGAAAGCUAUAGGGGGACGCAGGAAGGUAGAUGAACCCGGUGAAUGGUAGAACCGGGGUAAGCGUGUAGGAGGAGGACCAGGCAAAUCCGGGCCUCAUAUACUCUGAGACGUGAUACCGAGCCGCUUCAGGCGAAGUCAUUAAUCCUAUGCUGCCUAGAAAAGCCCAGUAGCGAGUUGACAUGGUGCCCGUACCCCAAACCAACACAGGUGGACAGGUAGAGCAUACCAAGGCGAGUGGGAUAACUAUGGUUAAGGAACUCGGCAAAUUUCCUCCGUACCUUCGGGAUAAGGAGGACCCCAGUAGCGUGACGAGACUUGCUCUCCGAGCGUGAAGGGGUGGCACAAAAUUGAGGGAAGCGACUGUUUACCAAAAACACAGCAGCGUGCUAAGCCGUAAGGCGCUGUAUACGCUGUGACUCCUGCCCGGUGCUGGAAGGUUACGGGGAUGGGUUAGUCCUUUGGGACGAAGCUCUGAACCUAAGCCCCAGUAAACGGCGGCCGUAACUAUAACGGUCCUAAGGUAGCGAAAUUCCUUGUCGGGUAAGUUCCGACCUGCACGAAUGGAGUAACGACUUCCCUACUGUCUCAACCAUAGACCCAGCGAAAUUGAAGUACGAGUAAAGAUGCUCGUUAGCUGCAGAAGGACGGAAAGACCCCGUGGACCUUUACUAUAACUUGAUGUUGUGUUUUGUCAUAUGUUGUGUAGGAUAGGUGGGAGACAAGGAAGCAUGGACGCUAGUCUGUGUGGAGUCAUCGUUGAAAUACCACCCUGCAUAUGGUGAGGCUCUAACCUAGACCCGUUAUCCGGGUUGGGGACAGCGUCAGGCGGGUAGUUUAACUGGGGCGGUUGCCUCCUAAAGAGUAACGGAGGCGCCCAAAGGUUCCCUCAGCCUGGUUGGCAAUCAGGCGUCGAGUGCAAUGGCAAAAGGGAGCUUGACUGCGAGACCUACAAGUCGAGCAGGAGCGAAAGCUGGGCAUAGUGAUCCGGCGGUUGCGUGUGGAAGCGCCGUCGCUCAACGGAUAAAAGGUACCCCGGGGAUAACAGGCUAAUCUUGCCCAAGCGUCCAUAGCGACGGCAAGGUUUGGCACCUCGAUGUCGGCUCAUCGCAUCCUGGGGCUGAAGCAGGUCCCAAGGGUUGGGCUGUUCGCCCAUUAAAGCGGUACGCGAGCUGGGUUCAGAACGUCGUGAGACAGUUCGGUCCCUAUCCUCUGUAGCCGUAGGUGAAUUGAGGAAAGCUGUCCCUAGUACGAGAGGACCGGGACGGACGCAGCUCUCGUGUGCCAGUUGUCCUGCCAAGGGCAUGGCUGGUUAGCGACCUGCGGAAAGGAUAACCGCUGAAAGCAUCUAAGCGGGAAGCCUCUUCCAAGAUGAAUUCACCCACAGGGUUGACCUGGUAAGGCCCGUGGUAGACCACCACGUUGAUAGGCCGGAAGUGUAAGCGUGGCAACACGUUCAGCUGACCGGUACUAAUCGGCCGAGGGCUUG